UACAGAGGGUGCGAGCGUUAAUCGGAAUUAUUGGGCGUAAAGGGCAUGUAGGCGGAUGAACAAGUGAUAUGUGAAAUACCUGGGCUUAACCUGGGGAGGUCAUGUCAGACUGUUCGUCUAGAGUGUGGUAGAGGAAGGUGGAAUUUCUGGUGUAGCGGUGAAAUGCGUAGAUAUCAGAAAGAACAUCGAUGGCGAAGGCAACCUUCUGGGCCAUUACUGACGCUGAGGUGCGAAAGCGUGGGGAGCGAACAGG
This 253-nucleotide ribosomal RNA is filed under the name uncultured bacterium. Its description in RNAcentral is "partial 16S ribosomal RNA". It matches the Rfam family "Bacterial small subunit ribosomal RNA", at positions 524 to 776 of the family's 1533-position model. The record is from RNAcentral.